RNAcentral lists this transfer RNA (85 nucleotides) under Botryococcus braunii. RNAcentral's name for it is "tRNA-Leu". It matches the Rfam family "tRNA". From Rfam's summary of the family: Transfer RNA (tRNA) molecules are approximately 80 nucleotides in length. Their secondary structure includes four short double-helical elements and three loops (D, anti-codon, and T loops). The record is from RNAcentral. Lineage: Eukaryota; Viridiplantae; Chlorophyta; Trebouxiophyceae. RNAcentral also lists the same sequence under 1 other name.
GGGGGUGUGGCGGAAUUGGUAGACGCAACGGACUUAAAAUCCGUUGAUCCUUUGGAUCGUGAGGGUUCAAGUCCCUCCAUCCCCA